This 690-nucleotide long non-coding RNA is filed under the name Felis catus (domestic cat). RNAcentral's name for it is "lncRNA (ENSFCAG00000044145.2)". Lineage: Eukaryota; Metazoa; Chordata; Mammalia; Carnivora; Felidae. The record is from RNAcentral.
CAACGUUUAUUUAUUUUUGGGACAGAGAGAGAGACAGAGCAUGAAUGGGGGAGGGGCAGAGAGAGAGGGAGACACAGAAUCGGAAACAGGCUCCAGGCUCCGAGCCAUCAGCCCAGAGCCCGACGCGGGGCUCGAACUCACGGACCGCGAGAUCGUGACCUGGCUGAAGUCGGACGCUUAACCGACUGCGCCACGCAGGCGCCCCUCAACUACAUUUUUAAAAAUAAGUACAUUAACCUUCAUUCAUCUGCAGGGUGACCAACUAUGUGGCAAGUGACCUUGAUGAAAGGAGGUUACUUAUUAGAAAUCCCGCCCUUCAGGAGAUUCUUUGUCUUCCCAGGAGCUUGCCUGGCAUGCCAUUUGGUGAGACAAGAACCCUUGCCCUGCCUCUCAAUUUCUGAAACAAGCUCUGUCCAACACCGCUGUGGAUGCUCUGCCCUCAAGAGGAGGCAAAUGGCCUGUUGGAGAUAUCAAAUCAACAUCAGCAAGCAAAAAAAAAUCAGAAUUAUGCCUGGCAGAACUUGUACGUAUAAAAAAUUAUGGGAAUUUUAAACUUGACAUUCCAGAAAAGUUAUAUGGCUCACUAAGCCUCAUUUUUCUGUUCUAUAAAAGAGGUAAGGCAAUAGUAUUGAAUGCAUAAGGUUAUUUGAAGAUUAAAGAAGUUAACAUAUGAAUAUUGAAUACAAUACC